This 430-nucleotide ribosomal RNA is filed under the name uncultured bacterium. RNAcentral's name for it is "bacterial SSU rRNA". It matches the Rfam family "Bacterial small subunit ribosomal RNA", at positions 962 to 1391 of the family's 1533-position model. The record is from RNAcentral.
CGAAAAACCUUACCUACCCUUGACAUGUCCGGAAUCCUGCUGAGAGGUGGGAGUGCUCGAAAGAGAGCCGGAACACAGGUGCUGCAUGGCUGUCGUCAGCUCGUGUCGUGAGAUGUUGGGUUAAGUCCCGCAACGAGCGCAACCCUUGUCAUUAGUUGCCAUCAUUCAGUUGGGCACUCUAAUGAGACUGCCGGUGACAAACCGGAGGAAGGUGGGGAUGACGUCAAGUCCUCAUGGCCCUUAUGGGUAGGGCUUCACACGUCAUACAAUGGUCGGUACAGAGGGUUGCCAACCCGCGAGGGGGAGCCAAUCCCAGAAAGCCGAUCGUAGUCCGGAUCGGAGUCUGCAACUCGACUCCGUGAAGUCGGAAUCGCUAGUAAUCGCGGAUCAGCAUGUCGCGGUGAAUACGUUCCCGGGUCUUGUACACACC